This 256-nucleotide ribosomal RNA is filed under the name uncultured bacterium. RNAcentral's name for it is "partial 16S ribosomal RNA". It matches the Rfam family "Bacterial small subunit ribosomal RNA", at positions 524 to 776 of the family's 1533-position model. The record is from RNAcentral.
UACAGAGGGUGCAAGCGUUAAUCGGAAUUACUGGGCGUAAAGCGUGCGUAGACGGUUACAUAAGUCGGGUGUGAAAACACCGGGCUUAACUCGGUGCUUGCUUUCGAUACGGGCAGACUAGAGGCAUGCAGGGGGAGAACGGAAUUCCUGGUGUAGCGGUGGAAAUGACGCAGAUAUCAGGAGGAACACCGGUGGCGAAGGCGGUUCUCUGGGCAUUACCUGACGCUGAGGAGCGAAAGUGUGGGGAGCGAACAGG